This 72-nucleotide transfer RNA is filed under the name Apaloderma vittatum (bar-tailed trogon). It matches the Rfam family "tRNA". Rfam says of the family: Transfer RNA (tRNA) molecules are approximately 80 nucleotides in length. Their secondary structure includes four short double-helical elements and three loops (D, anti-codon, and T loops). Further hydrogen bonds mediate the characteristic L-shaped molecular structure. tRNAs have two regions of fundamental functional importance: the anti-codon, which is responsible for specific mRNA codon recognition, and the 3' end, to which the tRNAs corresponding amino acid is attached (by aminoacyl-tRNA synthetases). tRNAs cope with the degeneracy of the genetic code in two manners: having more than one tRNA (with a specific anti-codon) for a particular amino acid; and 'wobble' base-pairing, i.e. permitting non-standard base-pairing at the 3rd anti-codon position. The record is from Rfam by way of RNAcentral. Lineage: Eukaryota; Metazoa; Chordata; Aves; Trogoniformes; Trogonidae.
GGCCGGUUAGCUCAGUCAGUUGAGCAUGGCGCUAAGAACACCAAGGUUGUGGGUACGAUUCCCGUUCGGUCC